This 854-nucleotide long non-coding RNA is filed under the name Struthio camelus australis. RNAcentral's name for it is "lncRNA (ENSSCUG00000011833.1)". Lineage: Eukaryota; Metazoa; Chordata; Aves; Struthioniformes; Struthionidae. The record is from RNAcentral.
CGGGCGCGGGGGGCAGCGCCCGCAGGGUCGGACGGUUUUCCGACAGAAGCGAAGUAAGUGGGUGAGCCCGUGUUAGGCUCGGGCGGAAAGAAGGCAGGAGGCUGGGUGGUCACUUGCCUCGCGACCCCGAGUGGGCAGUAACGGCCCGAGAGGAAACUCCGGAGGGGGCUGCGUGGCCGGGCCUUCGCGCACAGUCUGUGCUCGCCGAGUCUUGGCACGAAAUAAGAUUGCAGCCUGGCUGGAAGAGAGCAAGAAGCGGGGGUCUGCCUGUAGCCCAGUGACAGCGCUGAAGAUAGCGGAGGGAUCAGGAGUCCCCAUUCAGCUCUUUCCACCUCAAAUCCAAGAGUGUGAGUUACGGCGAGGAGGCCUCCAGGAGAUACGUGGCAGAGCAAGGCCUGGUGGACAGGAGGCAGGAGGUAUCGCUAGCUCCCAAAUACUAUGAGAUUAAACUCAACGGAAAUAGGAUUUGUAUUGUUUUGGGCAUCUCUACACAAAGAAUCUUGGGGACAUCUGGAAGAGAGGUUGGAAAAAUAUGCAGAUUCCAGAGGUGUACACAAAUGCUAGUGUAUAAUUUUGGGGGAGUUACGGAGUGAGGUGACAUCUGAGAAGGCAUCAGGUAUUUCCAAUUCUCCAGUGGAGGGCAGCACUGGUAAAAAACUGUUUGCAAGCGGUGAGCAAAGGAGAGGGUUUUAGUCUCUGCUCUGAAAAGUGGAAGAUGUAGAUACUUAACCCUAACAGUGAUGAGUUUUUUUGGCUUGUAGAAUGGAGGAGAAUCAAUGUCCACAGAUGGUAUGGCAGGAAUUAUAACAGUAUCUAUAAAUAAACCAGCAUAAGUAUGAAGGUAUGUAUUAAAG